UCCCAUCCCGCCAAACUUUUCGAAUUUUCCUUUAGCUCAAAGGAAGGAACCUGAACCAACAAAACGCUCUUGUUCCUUUCAUCCUUUGAGAUCGUAGUCGGUCUAAACGUGCAUCCCUUUGCGACUGAUUUCCGAACACAAGAAUCGAAUUGCCCUACUUGCAACUUGUCCAAAUCAAUGGUCAACCUGGAGUCAGGAAAGUUAAAGAACUUUCCCCCUCCAACAACGUCAACGACCCUAGUGAAUUCCGCUUCUUCGCGGAAAGUAGAGACAGUCGACACGAAAAAUUCCUUGACGUUAUGGAUGAAAUACCCAUGUACCCAUGUAGCUUUGACCGAAGCGUUAUCGCGUGUCCAAGACACCAACGUACGCGAAAAAGCAAAGCCGCCACGUUCCGCCAUUCCGAACAAAUAAAAGAAUUUCACGAUUAAAAACUUUACCUCGAAGGAAAUAAAAAGUAUAGAAUUGUAGUUUUAACUAGGAAAAAGUGAGUCGGCUUCUAUGUCGGAUGACAAUUCCCCUUGACCACUCGGUCAACGUGUUUCUUUUAGCACUUCACAUCAUUUAAGAUGAUUUUUGAAUUUAUAAACUUCUUCUAACACUUCUACAUCAUUUAGUUUUGAUUUUUAAUUUAUUAAGUUUUUCUAACACUUUUACAUCUAUGUUUCUUCCAACACUCGCGGAAUCACUGUAUUAUGAAACGUCUUACACUAACCGAAUCUAGAAUAGAACUGACUCGCUAUUUGUCCUCCUAGUCGCCGGCUAGCCUAUCUUCUACGAUCGACACUGGGAGCCGAUGACGGUGUGAAGAGUUUCCCACCAAAUUGUCAAUUGUGGAUGUUGGUUUUGGGGGAUAUGGUGUUGAAAAACGAUGUUUUGCUGUUAUCAGGAGCUACCUGAGCUGUGGUGCCUGUUGCUUUUCAGAUUGUUUUUGUGGGCAUUGGCAAAGUUGGUUUUAUUGUGCGAUGGUUGGUUGUCCAAUGUACUGGAAUCACGCUGCCCAGUCAUGUUAUUACACACGGUUUUGAAUGACUACCUAGUUGCUCUUGGUGACAACCACAUAUUACUUGUUACUCAAACGUCUUCCGUUGCUCCUCCCUGGAGCCACCAAUAAGGUUGCUUCCGGAAGCUAUUUUGUUCUUCAGUUAUGGAGAUCAGUUACCGCAAUGGGUCAACUGGGAUGACCUAGAGAAGCUUCUUCGAUUUUUGGAAAAAUUGCGUUCGAGGAUUAUCCUUUAUUUGCGCAAUUCUUCGUCCGCUAGGACCAUCAGCGUGGUACUUGUAAAGAGUUUCUUUGCCUUCUCUUGUAAAGCGUUGAUUGUUGGCUCGCUUGAGUGUUUGUCACCUGAGCAACUUGUUGAAUUAGCUGUUCGGGUGCAAUUUCUGUAAUCUGAUCUUGAGCAGAUGGGCCAUUGAUCAUUGAUUGGUUUAUGAAAUGUUUUUUCAGAUUGCUCUCUUUGAAGUUUGGUUGCAUUAUAAUGAUCUGAAGCGUGCGUACAUGCGGAGAAAGAGUAACUUGGUUUAUUAUUUCUUGUAAGAGCUGCGAUUGGGUCACUUCGUAGGUUUUCAUGAUACUAUUGGCGCAAGCCUUCAUAAUAUCGUCAAGUAUUACCUUUGCUCGGAUAUCCGAUAAUAUCGUAUCACAGUUUUGUUAGAAUUCCUCCACACUAAGAUUUCCUUGUUGUAGAUAAGGAAUCUUGCUGAGAAUUGUAGACAGAUCGUGAAUCUGUCCUUUAAGGUUUGUUUAAUAACGUCCCAAUCACAAGGGGUAUUACUAUUGAGAUCACUUUGUGAGGCAAAGAUUUUAGCUUAUUGCAGUUUUUGAUCGACUAAUGCGAUCCAUUCUGGUAAACUCUUUACAUCUUCAUCAUAACUCCUGUACUAAUUUUGAAAUGUCUGGUAUCCGAGACACGCGUACCACGCUAGCACGUCGUCUGAUUUCACUUUCUUCAUGAUGUUCUUCAGGCUCCGGCAAAACAAUGUCCAACCGUCACCACUUUCGCCGUUUCGUUAAGAUGUUUCACUAAAAGUUCAGCUGUUUGAAAGUCUUCGUAUCUCAGAGUGUUUGAGUCGAUGGCCAAUGCUAUCGUUUUAACAUGGAAACACUUUUCCAUUGCUCCGUACGCAAAGUAAUGGUUUUCUAGUUUUUUAAGGAAUGGUACAUAUGGUAGUAACUUUGCCCAUUUUCCUUCUUCCAUGGUGAUAAAAUAUUGUUCAGUUCGUUAAAAUGGCAAAUCGGGCUUUUACAACAUUAUCACUGUAUUCUUUUAAUUCCACUGCACAACCAUAUAUUACCAAUAUUAAUAAUAGCAAUGCAACUGAUGUAAGUGCUAUUGCGGUCACUACUGUGUUCAUCGUGUCACACGAUCGUGGAAAUAUUGCUCUUCAAUUUGCUUCUUCCGAUUUGCUUUUCCGCACGAAUGUCUACUUCUCUUCAAAGCCACUUCCAUAUAACGUAGAGGGUUAGUCCCACUACUAGAAUUAACAAACAUCCAGCUAUAAGAGACAGAGAUGUUUCGUUUUUACUUGGCGAAAUAACUGCACUUUGUUGGUUAUUAUUAACGAUAACCUCUUCUUGCGAUUAAGAACUACCGCCACCUAGACCGCCACCCAUAGUCUAAAGCUUUCUUCAUCACUUUUUCUGGAACUAUCACUUUUUUCUCAGGCUCUCAGCCUACGGUCGCCAUAACGCACUUUGUAUACUUACACUUUACUUCGGGUGUUGAAUCGCGGCUGUCAUCAGAACAGAGUACUCGGUAACUCCAAGUUGUUGACUGAAUCACAGAAUGUGAUCUGCUUUAUUGAACUUCCUUAUUUAUAUUCUGUAAAUCUACACAUGUUCUUAAAGUCUACACAAUAUAGUGAAUGGUUUUCAUGUGCGUAGCACAUGUUUUGGGUCUUAUGUUUAAUGUAUAAUGUCUGUGGGAAAAAGGUCAGCAAAACGGGAAUCGAAUUUCUGCGUGGGCAUGUACCACUUUGAGAUUAAUGAACUGUCGAACGAAAUGGGUAAGCUCUUGCGAAUGAUAUUGCACAGUGCGUGUAAAUUGAUAUUUCUGUUUGUUAACUCAGACGUUAGGCGCCUUGGUCAUGUAAGGUGUCAUAUUUCUGUUAAUCAUUGUAAUACUUGUUGAGUGCAAUGCUCUUGAGUAUGGCAAUGAUUUGCUGUUAUGGUUGUUUGGAAGAUAACCUGCUAAUUUAUGUUUCCUGCUACAGUACUCUUCACUGUCCUUUAGUUGUUCAAACUUCCGGUCGAUCUCCUGAAAGUAUUCCACUAGAUAGAUUUCCUCGAUCAAGAUGGACAUUCUGCACUUUUUUUUAUUACUUUGCUGUUUUCAACAACAGCAGCGCCUUAUUGUUCGUAUUAGAGAUUAUGAUGAAUCUCCUCUCUGGAGCCACCAUGUAAGUUUACGGUAUCGCAUAGUUCGAAACGAAUAUAGCGAAUAUAGCAAAUUGCGCGAACGAUCGCCUUAUUCCGACUAGCUUCAGUUCUCUAGCGAUAUCCGCUUCUAGUAGAGUUAGUGACGAGCUGUGUUCUAGGGAGGCAUAAGUACUUAUGACUUUAUCUUCGUUUCGUAAUGUUACAAGCAAUACAUGGUAAUGUACCGUUAUCGUUUUCACGUCAUUAUUACGAUUGUUCACCGAUCGUUGUUCAAUCGUGACUUCUUCUGUUGGAGGGUGGUGCAAUCGGUGAUGCCUUCUUGCACAUCCCUUGAUAUAACGCUCAGCAGUUUGUCUACGUUGAUUUUCUUCUUUGCUGGUGAGUCUUUUGCUGGUUUUAGCCACUGGCGCCCGCAUUAUUGUGCGUUGGUGGAAUUUCGUUGCUGUUCAUCAGCACUUCGUCACUUUUGCAAUCAUCGAGGUUGUUCUUCGUUUUAUUAGGCAACGAUACCGACACUGUUAUUUCUAUUCGUCCACUUUUUCAGCUUGUAACUUGUACUGUAACUCCCUUCACCCAUGGUACUCGUUGGGUACUCAAGUUCUCUGAAGUUAGGUUCGUUGCACUUACCUGGACUAGCAGCACCAACGAACGACUUACCCAGAGCCAACAACUGUGCUCGACACGGCCACCAGCCGCCACUUCUCCGUCGAAGGACCACGGCACUAUGCCGAACGCUAUAAACAACACGCUAUAAGCAUUCGUGCCGACAUUUAUACUAAGCAAAACAACGGGAUCUUUCUAACCUCGCUUUUCGUCAGCAGACAUUGCCGGGAUUCUUCGCCCACGGCAAACAAUACGCUGCAAGCGUUCGAUCUGACAUUCGCAGGAAGCAAAACAACGGGAUCUUUCUAACCUCAGUUUUUCUUUACGAUUCAUAUCUGUACAUAUUCAAAUCUACGUUGA
Aedes albopictus (Asian tiger mosquito) is the source of this 4342-nucleotide long non-coding RNA. RefSeq lists it as uncharacterized. The record is from RefSeq and is a predicted model, not a curated record. NCBI's taxonomy places the organism in Eukaryota, Metazoa, Arthropoda, Insecta, Diptera, Culicidae. The transcript has 2 exons.